This 201-nucleotide unclassified non-coding RNA is filed under the name plant metagenome. RNAcentral describes it as "partial contains small subunit ribosomal RNA, internal transcribed spacer 1, and 5.8S ribosomal RNA". The record is from RNAcentral.
UCUCCGUUGGUGAACCAGCGGAGGGAUCAUUAUCGAGUUUAUAACUCCCAAACCCUAUGUGAACUUACCACUUGUUGCUUCGGCGCGCGCUUCGGUGCCGCCGAGGACACUUAAACUCUUUGUUUUUAUAAGCAUUUCUGAGUGGCCGAAAGGCAAAAUACAAAUGAGUCAAAACUUUCAACAACGGAUCUCUUGGUUCUG